Paramisgurnus dabryanus is the source of this 291-nucleotide non-coding RNA. Lineage: Eukaryota; Metazoa; Chordata; Actinopteri; Cypriniformes; Cobitidae. The record is from RefSeq and is a predicted model, not a curated record.
UUUACUUUCAUCUUUUAUAUCUUUAUUUACUUUUAUUAUGUUAUUAUUGGCGGAGGCGCGUAAGGCGCGUGUCCGUAUACCGAAUGCUUUGAUCACGUGAUUAUUCAAACCAGGAGACGCGCAAUCUGGAUUAACCGCUGUUCUCCUCAGACGAGUGUUUCGGUGGUAUUAUGAGAUCCCUUUCUUGGUGUGUCUUGAUGUUUUAUAUUGGCUAAAGACAAGAUAUGUCUGCAAAUGCUGGUUCCAUGUCACAUUGCUUAUUCGAGACUAGAUCUACAAAUAACACUGCAG